UGAAUUUGAUGAGGUUAUAUU
This 21-nucleotide non-coding RNA is filed under the name Caenorhabditis elegans. Lineage: Eukaryota; Metazoa; Nematoda; Chromadorea; Rhabditida; Rhabditidae. The record is from RNAcentral.